Xenia sp. Carnegie-2017 is the source of this 2368-nucleotide long non-coding RNA. RefSeq lists it as uncharacterized. NCBI's taxonomy places the organism in Eukaryota, Metazoa, Cnidaria, Anthozoa, Malacalcyonacea, Xeniidae. The record is from RefSeq and is a predicted model, not a curated record. The transcript has 4 exons.
UUUAGCUCUCCCAAAUAUUAACUCUGAACAUUCUUUUUGUUCGAUAGGUGUAAAAGGUUCACGUUGCACGAAGUAAAUAUUUCGAAAAAAGUUCAUUCAUCUUCAAAAAUGUCCCAUCAAUACACAUUCAUACACCAAUACAUAUUUCACCAUAUCCCACCAACGCUCAAUACAUCCAUAGACCACAUCCUUACAAAACAUCACAAUCCCUCAACGCUCAAUACAUCUAUAGACCACACCUAUACAUCACACCAGAAUCCCUCAACGCUCAAUACAUCCUCAGACCGCAUUCAUACAGCACACCACAAUCCCUCAACGCUAAAUACAUCCCUAGACCACACUCAUACAACACACCACAAUCCCGUAUAGUGAGUUAUUCCAGCUGUAGUUUGCAUUGGGAAAGCAACAUAUCAUUACAACACGUGAGUCGCACAUGCAACAAAUGAAAACCGACGCACCUGAGAUCAAAGUCAGCACAUGGACGCAAAGUGACGACGCCUCAUCACACGAACGCUGGGAAACGACAGCUUGAGAUAUACGCAACGACAGAGAAGGAAGAAUUCGGAUUUCAAAAACGACCAAUCAGCGCGUUUCCAAGAUGUUGUGACGUGGAAUAUUUUUCACCAAUCAGACUUGUCAUUGCUCCGAGAAUCGCGACUAGUUUGAGUGUGAACUGGGAAUGUGUUUAUGGAUUUUGUGGGAUAUAAAAUGUGAACUGUGAAUGCGUUUGGGGAUUUUGGGGGAUAUAAAAUAUGAACUGUGAAUGUGUCAGGGAUUUUGGGGGAUAUAAAAUGUGAACUGGAAAUGUGUUUAGGGAUUUUGGGGGAUAUAAAAUGUGAACUGGGAAUGUGUUUGGGGAUUUUGGGGGUGUAAAAUAUGAACUGGGGAUAUGUUUGGGGAUUUUUAGGGUGUAAAAUAGGAACUGGAAAUGUGUUGUGGGAUUUUGGGGGAUAUAAAGUGUGAACUGGGAAUGUGUUUGUGGAUUUUGGUGGAUAUAAAUUGUAAACUGUGAAUGUUAUAUGGGAUUUUAGGGGACAUAGAAUGUGAACUGUGAAUGUUUUGGGAGAUUUUAAGAGAUAUAGAAUAUGAACUGUGAAUGUUUUGGGAGAUUUUGGUUGAUAUAACAGGUUUGUCAUUUUGUAUGAAGACAUGAUGAGCCCAAUUUCAUUAUAUUAUAGUGGAUAUACGAAAGAUUCUUACCUCCAGGGAGCGUCUGUGAUAUCAACAUUUCGUCCAACGUCAGAGAAAAUAUAAAAAAACAACUGGAUCCGCCAUACGAAGAUCUGUUAGAUGACGUAGAUGAUCUUGUGUUGACGUGCCUCAAAGAACCAUGGGAUAGUCUUUGCCGUGAUGAACGAAAAGAAUACGAAAUGAUACCAAAGAGUGACCAGUUGCGUUACAUUACGGUGAAGUUGAACGACAAAAUUUUACGACGAAAAAUAUCUUUGUUAUCGAACGAAAACUGACUUUAGUCUUUAAGAUGGAAUUUCGUUGUAGCAGAGGAGACGCCAUUCACUGACACGUAUUGAUACCUGUUUGACAAAUAUGAGUUGAACCAUUUGAUGGAAUCAGUACUAAGACCACAGGCUUUAAGUUUACCCAAAAGUAGUUUAUGAUUCACCAUAUCAAAUGCUUUUUUAAAAUCACCAAACAGCAAGCCACUAGGAUUGUCAUUAUCAAGAUCAGAUAAUAUCUGAUCAACAAUUUUAAUAAGAGCCGUUUCAGUAGAAUAGCCAUUCCUAAAGCCAGAUUGAAGAACAUAAAACAUGUCGUUGGCUUAAAAUUCGCGAAGCAAACAAUUAUAGAGAUGACGUUCAAGAACUUUGGAAAUUAUCGAUAGCGUAGAAAUAGGUCGAUAAUUAUCUGGAUCUGUAGAAUUUCCAUUUUUAAACAGGGGAAAAACUUUGGCUGUUUUCCAUGACUGUGGAAAUUGACACGAAGUAAUACAAUGAUUGAAAAGCUUUGACAACGACGAUGAAAUAAUUGGGGCAGCAGUCUUCAAGAUCUUUACACUAAUAUUGUCUGGACCAUUUGCUUUUGAUGAGGGAAUAUCUUGAAUUAUUUGAAUAACCUGCUCAGCACUUAUUUCAGGAAUAUCUAAACUCAAAUUGCCAAAAGAUAAAAAAUCGUUAUCAUUUAUAACAGUGGUAUCAUCUAAAAGAUUAGAAGCCACAUUUGCAAAGUGCAGAUUAAACGCUUCAGCAAUUUUUUUGUUAUGAUGGAAAAGAGACCCAUUAAAUAACAAUUCUUUCACUUGAACGGGAUCAUUUGUAUCACCAGAAAGAGAUUUGAGUAUUUUCCAAAGCUUCUUAGGAUUUUUACGAUUUUCAAUAAGAGAUGACUUGAAAUAGACUUGUUUGGCUUUAAA